UGGGGAAUAUUGGACAAUGGGGGCAACCCUGAUCCAGCCAUGCCGCGUGAGUGAUGAAGGCCUUAGGGUUGUAAAGCUCUUUCGUCAGGGAAGAUAAUGACGGUACCUGAAGAAGAAGCCCCGGCUAACUUCGUGCCAGCAGCCGCGGUAAUACGAAUGGGGCUAGCGUUGUUCGGAAUUACUGGGCGUAAAGCGCACGUAGGCGGACUAUUAAGUCAGGGGUGAAAUCCCAGGGCUCAACCCUGGAACUACCUUUGAUACUGGUCGUCUUGAGUACGAGAGAGGUGAGUGGAAUUCCGAGUGUAGAGGUGAAAUUCGUAGAUAUUCGGAAGAACACCAGUGGCGAAGGCGGCUCACUGGCUCGUAACUGACGCUGAGGUGCGAAAGCGUGGGGAGCAAACA
This 402-nucleotide ribosomal RNA is filed under the name uncultured prokaryote. Its description in RNAcentral is "bacterial SSU rRNA". It matches the Rfam family "Bacterial small subunit ribosomal RNA", at positions 355 to 774 of the family's 1533-position model. The record is from RNAcentral.